GACGAACGCUGGCGGCGUGCUUAACACAUGCAAGUCGUACGGUAGGGCCCUUUCGGGGGUACACGAGUGGCGAACGGGUGAGUAACACGUGAGUAACCUGCCCACAACUUUGGGAUAACGCUAGGAAACUGGUGCUAAUACUGGAUAUGUGCUCCUGCUGCAUGGUGGGGGUUGGAAAGCUCCGGCGGUUGUGGAUGGACUCGCGGCCUAUCAGCUUGUUGGUGGGGUAGUGGCCUACCAAGGCGGCGACGGGUAGCCGGCCUGAGAGGGUGACCGGCCACAUUGGGACUGAGAUACGGCCCAGACUCCUACGGGAGGCAGCAGUGGGGAAUAUUGCACAAUGGGCGCAAGCCUGAUGCAGCAACGCCGCGUGCGGGAUGACGGCCUUCGGGUUGUAAACCGCUUUCAGCAGGGACCAAGCUUUUUGUGACGGUACCUGCAGAAGAAGCACCGGCUAACUACGUG
RNAcentral lists this ribosomal RNA (465 nucleotides) under uncultured bacterium. Its description in RNAcentral is "partial 16S ribosomal RNA". It matches the Rfam family "Bacterial small subunit ribosomal RNA", at positions 28 to 507 of the family's 1533-position model. The record is from RNAcentral.